CCUACGGGAGGCAGCAGUGGGGAAUAUUGCACAAUGGGGGAAACCCUGAUGCAGCGACGCCGCGUGAGCGAAGAAGUAUUUCGGUAUGUAAAGCUCUAUCAGCAGGGAAGAAAAUGACGGUACCUGAGUAAGAAGCUCCGGCUAAAUACGUGCCAGCAGCCGCGGUAAUACGUAGGUGGCAAGCGUUAUCCGGAUUUACUGGGUGUAAAGGGCGUGUAGGCGGGAGUGCAAGUCAGAUGUGAAAACUAUGGGCUCAACCCAUAGCCUGCAUUUGAAACUGUACUUCUUGAGUGCUGGAGAGGCAA
RNAcentral lists this ribosomal RNA (305 nucleotides) under uncultured bacterium. RNAcentral's name for it is "bacterial SSU rRNA". It matches the Rfam family "Bacterial small subunit ribosomal RNA", at positions 338 to 660 of the family's 1533-position model. The record is from RNAcentral.